This 712-nucleotide long non-coding RNA is filed under the name Marmota monax (woodchuck). Lineage: Eukaryota; Metazoa; Chordata; Mammalia; Rodentia; Sciuridae. The record is from RNAcentral.
CAGAAACUUAGGGGGUGGGGCCCAGCAGUCUGUUUUAACAAGCCCUUUAGCCGAAGUCAAGUUUGAGAAGCACUGGACUAGAGGAAGCUGCGGGAAGCAAGUUCAGCGCCUCUGCUGAGGCCAGGGUCAGGCCCCGAGGCGCUUAGUGUAGACAGCUACAUCUGUGCCUUUUGUAAGCAGGCUUGGCGGGCCUACCCCCAGCGGCUGGGGACUGAGCCUUGUGCAGGCAACUGCGCAUCAGGGAGGUCAAACCUGGCUGCGCUGCUACCCCAAGGACAUUAGAAAAGAAACUGCCCUCUUGAGGGAAGGAAGGACGAAGCACUACGCCUAUGACAGGGGUGAGAGAGGGGGCAUUUCCCUGGAUAGGGUUAAGGAUAGAAAUGGGGCUGAGCAACAAGGAGGUUUUACAACUCCACUGAUGAACUAAAGUUGAUUCAGCAGUGGGCAAAGGAAAAGGACAAGCAGCAUUAUUGGAUGUGUGUCACAUGUUCUUCUUGGGGAAUUGAUGCCUGGAACCAACACUGCUGGGUGUUUGCUGAACCUGCAAAUGAUUGAAUGUGACUAACCUCCUCUGAGGUACUUGACCCCACUCCUUGACUUCAGCUAAUAAGCGCUGUGUCCCUGUGUGAAGAAUGAGAUUUGUAGUAAGUGUCUUUUUGCAGAAAUGUAAAUAUGCACCUGGGUUUGAUUUUAAAGACUGAAGACAUUGGGA